Molecule: long non-coding RNA, 970 nt
Organism: Oncorhynchus keta (chum salmon)
Lineage: Eukaryota; Metazoa; Chordata; Actinopteri; Salmoniformes; Salmonidae
Exons: 4
Source: RefSeq, a predicted model, not a curated record
AAUUAGCGCGAACACAGCGGUUUAUUAAUUAAACAAAGAUAUUCACACCAUUAACAGAACGAAAGAAAACAAAGAUAUUCACACCAUUAACAGAGUGAAAGAAAACAAAGAUAUUCACACCAGAGGGAAUAAUAGAAAGACAGAGAGAUGGACAGACAGGUAGGUAGAUGUAAGGCUAAGAGUGACGUCAUUCUGCAUUCAGAUCUCAUUGUUUAUAGGUCUGUAACAGCUAAUGGUAUAGAAUAACAGCAGGAUGAGGGGAGCGUGGGGAGCGUGUCUAUGAUUUGGGGAUGAAGGUUACUCCUGAUUUGGGGACAGAGGGUGAAGGUUUCUCCUGAUUUGGGGACAGAGGGUGAAGGUUUCUCCUGAUUUGGGGACAGAGGGUGAAGGUUUCUCCUGAUUUGGGGAUGGGAGGUGAAGGUUACACCUGAUAUGGGGAUGGGGGGUGAAGGUUUCUCCUGAUUUGGGGACAGAGGGUGAGGGUUACUCCUGAUUUGGGGACAGAGGGUGAAGAUUUCUCCUGAUUUGUGGAUGGGGGGGUGAAGAUUUCUCCUGAUUUGUGGAUGGGGGGUGAAGGUUUCUCCUGAUUUGGGGACGGGGGGUGAAGGUUUCUCCUGAUUUGGGGACAGAGGGUGAAGGUUACUCCUGAUUUGGGGACAGAGGGUGAAGGUUUCUCCUGAUUUGGGGAUGGGAGGUGAAGGUUACUCCUGAUUUGGGGACAGAGGGUGAAGGUUAUUCCUGAUUUGGGGACAGAGGGUGAAGGUUACUCCUGAUUUGGGGACAGAGGGUGAAGGUUACUCCUGAUUUGGGGACAGAGGGUGAAGGUUACUCCUGAUUUGGGGAUUGGGGGUGAAGGUUACUCCUGAUUUGGGGAUGGGGGUGAAGGUUUCUCCUGAUUUGGGGAUGGGGGGUGAAGGUUACUCCUGAUUUGGGGACGGAGGGUGAAGGUUACUCCUGAUUUGGGGACGGG